This 16-nucleotide small RNA is filed under the name Arabidopsis thaliana (thale cress). RNAcentral describes it as "ATSL246000". Lineage: Eukaryota; Viridiplantae; Streptophyta; Magnoliopsida; Brassicales; Brassicaceae. The record is from RNAcentral.
UUAGCCCUCCUGUCAA